RNAcentral lists this transfer RNA (69 nucleotides) under chicken gut metagenome. It matches the Rfam family "tRNA", at positions 5 to 66 of the family's 71-position model. Rfam says of the family: Transfer RNA (tRNA) molecules are approximately 80 nucleotides in length. Their secondary structure includes four short double-helical elements and three loops (D, anti-codon, and T loops). The record is from RNAcentral.
GGGUGUUAGCUCAGUUGGUUAGAGCGCCGGCCUGUCACGCCGGAGGUCGCGAGUUCGAGUCUCGUACAU